Molecule: long non-coding RNA, 929 nt
Organism: Trifolium pratense (red clover)
Lineage: Eukaryota; Viridiplantae; Streptophyta; Magnoliopsida; Fabales; Fabaceae
Exons: 4
Source: RefSeq, a predicted model, not a curated record
UUUUAAUUUUCUUUCUUCUCUCUUUCACACGGUUCUCUCUUUCACGUGAAAAUUAAAGAAAUCCAUCUCCAUCUCUGAAAAUCAUCAUCUCCAUCAAAGCUCAAGCUUCUCCCUCUCUGCAAAAUUCAUUCUCCCUCUCUGCGACAAAACCCUAACACAAUCGUUCUCUUUCUUUGACGAAAUCAGAAAUGUUACUACGUUGAACUCAUUCAUCCGAUUCAAGGAAGAACAACCUUGAAUGUGGAGAGUUUUAGCUGCUAUCACAAUAUCUACAAUUUUGAAGAUCAACAUCUGAUCAAGGCAACAUGACGAGUGAUUGAUAUCAUCAUUGAGUAGUAAAGGCUCAACUCACGUCAUGAAAUCAAAGAAGUUCCAGCUCUUGCACCAACUUUUGAACAAUUCUCAUGUUAUGUCUAUUGGGUUAUCAUCACCAUCGUUGCAAUUAUUACUCAGGGAACCAAUUUAUGAGAAGCCGUUCGGAACUUGAAUGGUACCACGAUUCAAACUAAUGGUGUAAAGAAGUUAAUUGAUGAUUGGUUAUUUGAAAUGAUGUUUGUAAAGUUGGCACCGUUUGCAAGUAACCAAGAUGAAUAUAGAGACCAAUUCAGUUUUGUAGACUGUUUAUAGUGUUAUGGUUUCAGAACUUGUGGUUGCUGGAAUAUAAAGAGUUUGUUUUGUUAAGAGCUGUAUUUUGAAGAUAUACUACUAGAGCUUGGUAUUGCCGAGAGCUGCAGCUACUUGUUGGUAGAGCGGUCCAUUAUUCUGAACCCUGGUCUAUGCUUUUGAAUAUUUGAGUUGCAAAUUUUGUUUUUAGAGCAACAAGAGCAUUGUGUAAUACUAUUGUAUAUGUAGAUAUGUAAUUUUUAAGUAUUUGAUCAUGUAGUUUCCAUGUUUUCGAAUAUUAUAAAAUCAUAAUAAAAUUCUAUGGA